AAAUGAUGAAAUCACCAGAACUAGCUGGAAUUACCGCAGAUUGGUAGUGGUGAACCUACGGUUUUCUGAAG
This 71-nucleotide small nucleolar RNA is filed under the name Octodon degus (degu). The record is from RNAcentral. Lineage: Eukaryota; Metazoa; Chordata; Mammalia; Rodentia; Octodontidae.